This 806-nucleotide ribosomal RNA is filed under the name uncultured microorganism. Its description in RNAcentral is "bacterial SSU rRNA". It matches the Rfam family "Bacterial small subunit ribosomal RNA", at positions 61 to 904 of the family's 1533-position model. The record is from RNAcentral.
GUCGAGCGGUAAGGCCUCUUCGGAGGUACACGAGCGGCGGACGGCUGAGUAACACGUAGGAACGUACCCCAAACUGAGGGAUAAGCACCAGAAAUGGUGUCUAAUACCGCAUGUGCUCUUCGGAGUAAAGCUACGGCGGUUUGGGAACGGCCUGCGCAUGAUUAGCUUGUUGGUGAGGUAAAAGCUCACCAAGGCGACGAUCAUUAGCUGGUCUGGGAGGAUGAUCAGCCAGACUGGGACUGAGAACGGCCCAGACUCCUACGGGAGGCAGCAGUAGGGAAUUUUCCACAAUGGGCGAAAGCCUGAUGGAGCAACGCCGCGUGCAGGACGAAGGCCUUCGGGUUGUAAACUGCUUUUAUCUGUGACGAAUAUGACGGUAGCAGAUGAAUAAGGAUCGGCUAACUCCGUGCCAGCAGCCGCGGUCAUACGGAGGAUCCAAGCGUUAUCCGGAAUUACUGGGCGUAAAGAGUUGCGUAGGUGGCAGUGUAAGUUGGUAGUGAAAGCCUGGGGCUCAACCCCUUACCCAUUACCAAAAUUGCACAGCUAGAGGAUGAGAGAGGUUAUUGGAAUUCCUAGUGUAGGAGUGAAAUCCGUAGAUAUUAGGAGGAACACCGAUGGCGUAGGCAGAUAACUGGCUCAUUCCUGACACUAAGGCACGAAAGCGUGGGUAGCAAACGGGAUUAGAUACCCCGGUAGUCCACGCUGUAAACGAUGGAUGCUAGCUGUAUUCGGUAUCGACCCCGGAUGUAGCGAAGCUAACGCGUUAAGCAUCCCGCCUGUGAGUACGGUCGCAGACUAAAACAUAA